GCAUUGGAAACUGUCAAACUAGAAUACUGAAGGGGCAGAUGGAAUUAGUGGUGUAGGGGUAAAAUCCGUAGAUAUCACUAGGAAUACCGAAAGCGAAAGCGAUCUGCUGGGAAGUUAUUGACGCUGAGGCACGAAAGCGUGGGGAGCAAACGGGAUUAGAUACCCCGGUAGUCCACGCCCUAAACGAUGAAUGCUAGUCGUCGGAAAGCUCGUCUUUUCGGUGAUGCAGUUAACACAUUAAGCAUUCCGCCUGGGGAGUACGGUCGCAAGAUUAAAACUCAAAGGAAUAGACGGGGACCCGCACAAGUGGUGGAGCAUGUGGUUUAAUUCGAAGAUACGCGAAGAACCUUACCAAGCCUUGACAUUGAUAGAACGGACCAGAGAUGGACCGGUGCCUUUUCGGAGGAACUUGAAAACAGGUGCUGCACGGCUGUCGUCAGCUCGUGUCGUGAGAUGUUGGGUUAAGUCCCGCAACGAGCGCAACCCUCGUCGUCAGUUGCUAACAGUUCGGCUGAGCACUCUAGCGAGACUGCCUUCGCAAGGAGGAGGAAGGUGAGGACGACGUCAAGUCAUCAUGGCCCUUAUGGCUUGGGCUACACACGUGCUACAAUGGGGCGUACAGAGAGUUGCGAUACCGCGAGGUGGAGCUAAUCUCAUAAAGCGUCUCUCAGUUCGGAUUGGACUCUGCAACUCGAGUCCAUAAAGCUGGAAUCACUAGUAAUCGUAGAUCAGCAAUGCUACGGUGAAUACGUUCCCGGGUCUUGUACUCACCGCCCGUCACACCAUGGGAGUUGAUUUCACCCGAAAUCGGGAUGCCAAACUGGCUACCGCUUACGGUGGAAUUAGCGACUGGGGUGAAGUCGUAACAAGGUAACC
RNAcentral lists this ribosomal RNA (876 nucleotides) under uncultured bacterium. RNAcentral describes it as "bacterial SSU rRNA". It matches the Rfam family "Bacterial small subunit ribosomal RNA", at positions 623 to 1501 of the family's 1533-position model. The record is from RNAcentral.